UUCUCACACAACAUUAUUUCCAUUUUGCAGUAGAAAUCGCACCUCAAACCAGACAGUCCGCAAGCUAAUCUGCCUUUAAAUGCCUUAACUGGGCCUCCUUUAGGCCUACUCAAUAGGCCAGCCCAUAAAACCUGUUUCCAAAUAAACCCUGCACCGGUUCGGACCGGAGCACGGAAACCCCAGGGAGAACAAACACAGCGAGAGCAAUGGCGAGGUGGUGGCGCUGCGCCGGCGGCGCCUCCGUGGCGACGGUCCGACGGACGCCCUCCGCCACGUACCACCGCACUAUCCAGGCGGUGCCGAAGGAGCACACCGGGUACCGGGCGGCCGCCGGCCGGAUCCCAUCGGUGGUGCGGAGCCCCGGCUAGGGCAGCGACACCGCCACUCAGAACCAGCUCCGCACCACCGAUGCGAAGCAGAUCCGGGAUCUCCUCAAGCAGUUGCCCUUCUUCUGUUCCACCCCCAUCCGCCUACAGGUCCGCCCCGGCCCGGCUCCGGCGUCGUCCUCGACUCCAGCACCGCCCUCCCCGUCAAGGCACGGAGAAAAGGCGGCCUUUUUAUUGGAGUUCUUCUUGAUCAUUAUCUUUGGUAUUCGACGAUAGGUUCAUAAGAAGGUGGAGACGGGAGAUAUUCUAAAUUUGGUGAUGGCGUGGGUGGAGAAGGGAUCGGAGCAGAAGGUGACGUUCCCGUCGUAUUUAAGGGAGAGGACGUCCACCCGGGCUUAAGAAAGGGGGUUAUCUGCACAAGACAGCCCACCCUAAAAGACCUCUGCCCAACAGAAGACAUUCCUCCAAAAAUUGGGAUGGAUCUGACAAAUCUGGAUAUCGGAGAUAGAGUUUUCAUGCAUGAUUUCGAUGUCCACCCACCAUUGCAGCUUUUGAGUAAAAAUGACAGCAUGCUCAUUGGUAAGAUCUUGGCAACACGGCCCGUUGAAUCAGAACCUCAGCCAGCAUCAGUAGCCACAGAAACGCAAAAGGUUACAGGAAUGUAGUUUAAACAAAUCCCACCCGUAUACAGUCUUGCCACAUGGUGUAUGCUUGAAGAGCAAGUAUGUCAGUGUUUUUGAUGGUUUUCCAGGGAACGAUAUAUACAUGAUAGAUGAGACCGUUAUGUUUUCACUCCAUUAAUCAUGCCAUCUAUUGUGAA
Elaeis guineensis (African oil palm) is the source of this 1146-nucleotide long non-coding RNA. RefSeq lists it as uncharacterized. NCBI's taxonomy places the organism in Eukaryota, Viridiplantae, Streptophyta, Magnoliopsida, Arecales, Arecaceae. The record is from RefSeq and is a predicted model, not a curated record.